Molecule: unclassified non-coding RNA, 340 nt
Filed under: soil metagenome
Description: partial contains 5.8S ribosomal RNA, internal transcribed spacer 2, and large subunit ribosomal RNA
Rfam family: 5.8S ribosomal RNA (bases 1-120)
Source: RNAcentral
GAUGAAGAACGUAGCGAAAUGCGAUAAGUAGUGUGAAUUGCAGAAUUUAGUGAAUCAUCGAAUCUUUGAACGCACAUUGCGCCCUUUGGUAUUCCUUAGGGCAUGCCUGUUCGAGCGUCAUCUACACCCUCAAGCACAGCUUGGUGAUGGGCGCCUGUCCCGCCCCCCACGGGGGCGCGGACUCGCCUCAAAUGCAUAGGCGGCCGGCGACCUGGCUUCGAGCGCAGCAGAAACGCGUACUCGGGGACCGGGCGCCCGCUCCCAGAAGCCAACCCACCCAGUUUGACCUCGGAUCAGGUAGGGAUACCCGCUGAACUUAAGCAUAUCAAUAAGCGGAGGA